This is a non-coding RNA of Strigops habroptila (Kakapo), 1174 nucleotides long. The record is from the annotation of a RefSeq genome assembly. Lineage: Eukaryota; Metazoa; Chordata; Aves; Psittaciformes; Psittacidae.
AGCUGCUGUCCCCGGAGGGUGUAAACCGGGCUGGGGAGAGGGUCGAUUGAGAGGGUGCUGCCAUCCUGUGGCCAAAACUCGGUACUGCAGGCGGGGGGUCAGGCGCUCAGUGGCGCCGGGAGCCGCUCGCUGCUGCCAUCCUGUGACCAAAACUUAGGACUGCAGUGGGUCACUCGGUGUCUGCAGGGUUUGGGGUUGUUGACCAUUAGGUUUGAGAGAGCUACAGCCUUGCUGUGUGCUGACAAGAGCUUGGGGCUUUACACCGUGCAAGAGCCAGGAGACACCAAGCCAGACAAGGGCUUGAGGGUGGCGAGAGAGGACAAAGGCAUCAGCUAAGGAGGGGAGCUCAGUGGAAUGGCAGAAGGUGGCAUCUGCAGGAGCAAGAUGUGUCAUUACUGGAGGAGAGAAGACCACAGCACAGGCAUUUCAGCUGUGCUAAGAAGCAGCAUUUUCUCCUCCCCAUUUCCUUCGUUGUUCCCCUUGCAGAGUCAUUUCCGACAGCUCUGCUCUCUUGGGGCUCUUGGUGGGGAUGUGUGGGUUUCUGAGUCUCUCUCACGCACGCAGGAAGCUUGGUCUCAGCAUGCUCCUUGGCUACCUCAUCCUUGCUGCCUUCCUGAGAAAACCACUGGGAACAAUGGGACAGACCCAGCAAGAAGGAGAAGUCAUAGUAAAGGAGAAAGAUGCCUUUCAGACCACCUGCACCUACCAGAGUGCCAACUUUGAUGCCUUGGUUUGGUACCAGCAGAAGAAAGACCAAGCUCCACAGCUCAUCUCAUAUCAGGCAGUUGCUGGCCUCAAGCAGAGUGGCCGUUUCACCACGCUGCUGAACACCACAGGGAAAUACAGCCUCCUGCAGCUGCAGGAGGUCGAGCUCUCCGACAGUGCCUUGUACCUCUGUGCUGGGCGAGACACGCUGGUGCAGGGAGCUGCCUCAGCUGUGCAAUAACACAGGGAGGGAGAGUGAGAGUUGUGAGGAUCUAUGAUCAUCUUCAGCUCCUAAACAGGCAGUGGUGUUGUAGUGAUGAGCUCCUCUGGCAGCAAGGGACUGUGUGUCUGGGACAUGCCAGACUUGCAGCAGAAUACAGUGGGAAAAUUUUGUUACCCCUUCAGGCAGAUUAAACACAUCCUGGUGCUUAAAUUGUAAACAAUAUAUAAAUAAAAAAUUAAUGUAUUG